AAUCCGUAUAACAAUACUCCGAGAACUGAAAGGCUUUUUGAAGUCUUCGGAUGGAAAGAAGAACCCCUGAUGCCGUCGAGCCAAGAAAAGUUUCUAAGUUUAGCUAAUGUUGCCCGUACCGUAAACCGACACAGGUGGGUGGGAUGAGUAUUCUAAGGCGCGUGGAAGAACUCUCUUUAAGGAACUCUGCAAAAUAGCACCGUAUCUUCGGUAUAAGGUGUGCCUCCCUUUGUAUUAGAAUUCACUUCGAAAGCAAAGAAGGUUACAACAAAGAGUCCCUCCCGACUGUUUACCAAAAACACAGCACUCUGCUAACUCGUAAGAGGAUGUAUAGGGUGUGACGCCUGCCCGGUGCUCGAAGGUUAAUUGAUGGGGUUAGCAUUAGCGAAGCUCUUGAUCGAAGCCCGAGUAAACGGCGGCCGUAACUAUAACGGUCCUAAGGUAGCGAAAUUCCUUGUCGGUUAAAUACCGACCUGCAUGAAUGGCGUAACGAGAUGGGAGCUGUCUCAAAGAGGGAUCCAGUGAAAUUGUAGUGGAGGUGAAAAUUCCUCCUACCCGCGGCAAGACGGAAAGACCCCGUGGACCUUUACUACAGCUUGACACUGCUAUUUGGAUAAGAAUGUGCAGGAUAGGUGGGAGGCUUUGAGUAUAUGACGCCAGUUGUAUAUGAGCCAUUGUUGAGAUACCACUCUUUCUUAUUUGGGUAGCUAACCAGCUUGAGUUAUCCUCAAGUGGGACAAUGUCUGGUGGGUAGUUUGACUGGGGCGGUCGCCUCCCAAAUAAUAACGGAGGCUUACAAAGGUUGGCUCAUAGCGGUUGGAAAUCGCUAGUAGAGUAUAAAGGUAUAAGCCAGCUUAACUGCAAGACAUACAAGUCAAGCAGAGACGAAAGUCGGUCUUAGUGAUCCGGUGGUUCUGUGUGGAAGGGCCAUCGCUCAAAGGAUAAAAGGUACCCCGGGGAUAACAGGCUGAUCUCCCCCAAGAGCUCACAUCGACGGGGAGGUUUGGCACCUCGAUGUCGGCUCAUCGCAUCCUGGGGCUGGAGCAGGUCCCAAGGGUAUGGCUGUUCGCCAUUUAAAGCGGUACGCGAGCUGGGUUCAGAACGUCGUGAGACAGUUCGGUCCCUAUCUGCCGUGGGCGUAAGAAGAUUGAAGAGAUUUGACCCUAGUACGAGAGGACCGGGUUGAACAAACCACUGGUGUAGCUGUUGUUCUGCCAAGAGCAUCGCAGCGUAGCUAAGUUUGGAAAGGAUAAACGCUGAAAGCAUCUAAGCGUGAAGCCAACUCUAAGAUGAAUCUUCUCUAAGCUCUCUAGAAGACUACUAGUUUGAUAGGCUGGGUGUGUAAUGGAUGAAAGUCCUUUAGCUGACCAGUACUAAUAGAGCGUUUGGCUUAUCUUAUAAAUA
Molecule: ribosomal RNA, 1404 nt
Filed under: Campylobacter upsaliensis
Lineage: Bacteria; Pseudomonadati; Campylobacterota; Epsilonproteobacteria; Campylobacterales; Campylobacteraceae
Description: partial 23S ribosomal RNA
Rfam family: Bacterial large subunit ribosomal RNA
Source: RNAcentral